UAAGAUUCUAAAGAAAUAGGC
This 21-nucleotide non-coding RNA is filed under the name Caenorhabditis elegans. Lineage: Eukaryota; Metazoa; Nematoda; Chromadorea; Rhabditida; Rhabditidae. The record is from RNAcentral.